RNAcentral lists this transfer RNA (76 nucleotides) under Clostridiales bacterium. RNAcentral describes it as "tRNA-Arg". It matches the Rfam family "tRNA". Rfam says of the family: Transfer RNA (tRNA) molecules are approximately 80 nucleotides in length. Their secondary structure includes four short double-helical elements and three loops (D, anti-codon, and T loops). Lineage: Bacteria; Bacillati; Bacillota; Clostridia; Eubacteriales. RNAcentral also lists the same sequence under 1 other name. The record is from RNAcentral.
GCGUCUGUAGCUCAGUGGAUAGAGCGUUCGACUCCGACUCGAAAGGUCACAGGUUCGACUCCUGCCAGACGCACCA